RNAcentral lists this long non-coding RNA (917 nucleotides) under Populus trichocarpa (black cottonwood). RNAcentral's name for it is "long non-coding RNA (PTRI_LNC000610)". The record is from RNAcentral. Lineage: Eukaryota; Viridiplantae; Streptophyta; Magnoliopsida; Malpighiales; Salicaceae.
UUUAAAAUAAGCAAUUGGCAACGACGACCAAAUGUUUUAACAUCUGGAUUGACCGUGGUUGUUUUCAUGUCAAUAAGAUCCAAUAGAGUCAAAGUGCCCUAAAGAGUUGAAACAAGCCACUGGAUUACAUAUGUGGCCUACGCACCCCAUAUCCAUGAAAACAGGCCUUGCCACACAUUACCGGAUCUGAUCAAGAUAGACUGGGAAUCCAACGCUGAGAAAUACCAAGGGAGAUCCUACAGCGAUGAGCUCUGGGUGCUACUACGUACAGCAAUGAGAAAUACCCUAAUUUUCAAACCAGUACCAUUCAUAAACCCAACAACGGUUUCUGGAGUGCUUCUGAUGUCUAGAUUACCUGCGAUGAGCUCUGGGUGCUACUACAGCGAGAGUUUAGUAUAAAGUUUCUGGGCAGAAUUCACCUUAGAUUUGCGGGGUCCAAGUUCUUCAGAACCUCCUCAAUAAAAUGGCUCGAUGACAGGCUGAAAACAAGCACGGGAAUGCAAGAGAUCAUCAAGAUUUCAUCAUCAAGCAAUUAGCAUGGUAUAAUUUUCCAAAUUUGUGUAUGUGUUUAUUAGAAAAAUAUUCAAUUUCAAACCUUAUUAUGUUCACGAAUCAAGAUCAUAAAAGGAUUACAUGCACUUUGACCAUAUAUAUAGUUUAGAAUCAUCAUCAAUUUUAUUUUUUUUGCCAGAAAUAAAUAUGGCUACUUUUGAAUCCCGAACAUGAAGAACACGUAAGCAAUAUGUUAUACAAGCCAAUCCUUCUAAAUAUUUCAGCUUGCGACCUGGGGCCUCCUGUAUAUCUCACCAGUUCUAUUAAAAAAUAAAAGAUUCUUAAUGAUUUUUAUCCGUGAAAUUAGUUGAAGUAUAUAUUUAACAUAAUAUCUAUGUUAAUAAAAAAUAAUAAUUCAAAGAGCC